RNAcentral lists this ribosomal RNA (894 nucleotides) under Triticum aestivum (bread wheat). Its description in RNAcentral is "partial small subunit ribosomal RNA". Lineage: Eukaryota; Viridiplantae; Streptophyta; Magnoliopsida; Poales; Poaceae. The record is from RNAcentral.
CUACAUGACCUAUUCCUGCUUUUCAUAGUCGAGGCAAUAUAUGAGGUAGCUAUUUCUAACAAGAUGGCGCCGGCUGCUUCAUGCAAAUCAAGUUUUGCUCGUUAUAUAGAAAGGUAUGUGUCAUUCUAUCCAACAGCAAUACGAGAGUCCACUCGCCCAAAAGAUUUCGAUCAUUUGCUGCACUUGUGUCAUAUCUACUUCAGACCUAGUUCUAAUCAGGAUGAGCACGAUGGCCAUACAUCGCAACACUAUAUUCACCAGUUCCUUCAAAUGGGGCGAAAUUACCUCAGCUAUUUAGGUUCCUCGCAGCAUCACUAUUUCCCAAACCGAUGGCGCCGAGCAACACAGUAUCAUGAAGCUGGCAUCCAGUUUAGGAUGAGAAUGUAUUCUGAGCAUAACCCCCAUUCCCUCUUGGAUAUAAAGCUCAGAGACGGUAUCCUGGAAAUCCCAUUCUUGUUUGUGGAUGAAGAAACUAUCGUCUUCUUCAGAAACUUGAUAGCACUGGAGCAAACAUGUCCGCAAGUUGGAAAUUAUGUCACGGCUUACACUGUUUUCAUGGCCAAGCUGAUGAGCAUGCCCGAUGAUGUUGCGCUGCUGGCUCGAAAGGGGGUCAUUGCCCACCAUAUGCGUACUGACAGAGAUGUAUCACAGCUCUUUACCAGGCUGACAAAAGGUGUUGUCUUCGAUUUCUACGGGAACUAUUACCUUAACCACCUGUGCUUAGCCCUGGAGGUAUAUUAUCAGAACCGUCUGCACAGGUGGGUCGCAUGGCUGAGGCACAACCAUUUGAGCAAUCCAUGGCUGGUGGUCGCUGCGUUCGCUGGUGUUAUUGUGCUUUUCUGCACCAUUGCACAGACUGUCCUUACUGUCGAGUCUUAUGUUAAUCCCAAGUAA